Daucus carota subsp. sativus is the source of this 2482-nucleotide RNA transcript. RefSeq lists it as uncharacterized. The record is from RefSeq and is a predicted model, not a curated record. The transcript has 7 exons. Lineage: Eukaryota; Viridiplantae; Streptophyta; Magnoliopsida; Apiales; Apiaceae.
AUAUUUUAAUCCAAUCAUAUAGCCACGUCAGUCAUAGACAUUAGGCAUAGAAUCUUUUGAUCUCCCGGUUUCCAAAACCUCUGCCUCUUCAAUUUCCUGUUAUAUCCCGACUCCUGCUACAUGUUUCCUCUUAUCUCAUCACUCCUGCCAAGUGAUGAAUAAAUUCUUGCUGGCCGCAUUUUAUUUGUUCUGGUUUUAGCGAAUAAUCGACAUGUUCUUUGACAAUCAGCAAAAAAGCGUGCCUUCAAUGUGUUCGCAUAAAUGAUUGAGUGCCUUCUAUGUAUCGGAUGUCUUGCGGAGCUAAUAAAAUCAAUCACACUGUCUUUCAGGAAUAACAAACAUGUCACAAAAAGGUUUAUGGAUUCGAGCAAUCUAGGUAUGGUGGCAUUACAUCCUCUCUCACAUGAAUUUACAUCUCAGCAGACAACACACUCUUAUUGACAAAGCUCGAGCCUUUCCACCUUUAAUCACUUGUGAGUGGUUUGAUAUCAGAUGGUGUUCUUGCAUAAGACAUCCAGGAAGUAUCAUCAUUUCGACAUCCGCGAGGGCUGUGCUGGGAAGUGUGAGUGAUUACUGUGCUCAUCGUGCUCAUUGCAUGGUGACAAUCGUCAAGAAGCCUAAAAACAAGUACUAAGGUUCCUUGAUCGAGGGCUAUGAUUCUUUAACCAUACCCACUUCUAUUGUGUACUCUCCUCAUUUUAAGCCCCCAAAAUUAGAGCCUAUUUCAGGUGAUUCUUAAUGUGUAUAUAAUGCUGCAACAUGGGGGUUUGUUGAGCCAUUUUAUUCCAUUUCACAAUGCCAUGUCAGAGCCUUGUCCGCAAUUUAAUCCACCUCAGCAACAGCCGCUUCAGGCUUCCUACCCUUUAUUGCAACCGAUUAUAACUUGUUUUGAUGCCCGACUGUCCCUAUCCUCCGCACAGCUCUCAGUUCUGUUUUAUAGUUCUCAUAUGAGUACUUGAUGUCGCAGAUAAGUCAUAUGAGGUAUGGAUGCUACAAAUUCUGUUCAUCCCUUGAAAGGUCCACCACGAAAUACAAGCUGCAGUAGGAUCUAUGUCUCCAGCUUGGAGGGUCAGGAUUUUAGAGCAAGUAAAUGUGUAGUGGCAGGACUUUUAUGAUGGAAAGUUGAAGGCUAAUGAUUUCACUUUAGAUUACUUUUUCUAUGCUUUAUAAUAUGGUUUCUUUUUAUAAAUGUGUCAGAAGUCUGUAGUUACUACAUAUUCAACAGGAAGGUUCUAUGCAGGCUUCCAACUAUCAUUAGUCCUCUAUCUCUACAUAUUUCUGUAUAGUUUAGAUGACCACAGUGACAAUCAUUUGUAUAUACAUGAAAAAUUGUAAAUUUUAAACUGCAUUAAUUUUUUGUUCAUAUACUGUUAUAGGAAAUAAUCAUAUAAAAGACGUGCUUGUUAAACAUAUGGGAAUCUCUGACAAGGAUAUAGUUACACUGUCUGCCCACUGGGAAGGGCUCACAAGGAGCGCUCUAGGUUUGAGGGACCCUAGACCAUCAAUCCUCUUUAAAUUUGCUAGAGAUCAGCGUGGCAAGUAUAGCGUAGGUAAGGAGGCUGAAAUUUUUUAUAACUCCACUAUCAUUUGGGAUGAGUUUGUCUGGGGAGGUGCGUGGAUGUAUUAUGCUACAGGAAAUAAUUCUUACCUCUCCCUUUCUACUAAUAUUAAAAUGACCACACAUGCUGGUGCUUUUUGGGGAGGCCAAGAUUAUGGUGUACUUAGUUGGGAUAACAAGCUUGCGGGAGCUUAGUGCAGAACAGGUAAAGUGUCGAAACUUAUCUGCAUAACUUCUCAGAUAUGCCGUUUUGCACAUUUAAGAUGAUUCUUUCGCAAAUACCAUUUUAAAGAAACUACUGAUCUGAUGCCUCAGCCUCUUCAAUAUCUUGUCAAUGCUGCAUUUUUGGCUACAUUAUUUAGUGACUAUAUGGAUGCUGCGGAUACACCUGGAUGGUCCUGGGGACCAAAUCUCUACUCAAUGAUAUUCUCCGUUCAUUUGCUCAGACCCAGGACAAUGUCAUUGCUUAGUGAUGCCAGUUGUUUAUCUGUCUGCUCAAAAUGUGGUGCAACAAAAAGCCACAGAAACUCCUACCAAGAGGUUGAUCAAUUGAUUUUCACAAUAAUGAUGCUAAAAGUAAUUUAAUGGAUCUGCAGACUCUUCGCGUCGAGAAAAUGACACAUUCAAAAAGCGCUCUGACUACGUACAGGUACCAGCCUUCCAGUUAGUGCUGGCUACCUUGGUGAUGAUAUAGUGGAAGAACCAAAAAAAACCUUGACGGAAUGUUAUUAUGAUUUUGUGUUUGAUUCUCAAUAAUUUCUAUGUAAUUUAUGAUAUUUAUUCAAGAAUUUCAAUAACACUUUUCCUUUAGAGAGAGUAAUAGUUGAUCUAAUCUAUGUCUCUAGCAGAAUAUCGGUGGUCUUCUUUUCCUUAUGAUGUUGGAAUGUCCAAAAACGUAUGAUAUUGGAUUCAUCUUAAAUAUUA